This 627-nucleotide long non-coding RNA is filed under the name Equus caballus (horse). RNAcentral describes it as "lncRNA (ENSECAG00000060229.1)". The record is from RNAcentral. Lineage: Eukaryota; Metazoa; Chordata; Mammalia; Perissodactyla; Equidae.
CAAUUAAUUCAGAACCUGAGAGGGCUGGCAUCACUGUUUUUAAAGAUAUCCAGGGGGUUCUAAUGAGCAGCCAAGUUUGGGGACCACUUUAACCACCCUGCCCCCAGCCAACUUCCUGACCACUGAGGAUUUGCCUUUAGGCCUGUCAGGGUGAGGAGCAUAGGCUGUGGUGUUAGUAGUGAUUAUGGAGCUCAUAUUUCAUAAUAGGAUUCUCUGUAACAAAGACCUCACCAGGCAGGCGUGUGUUGUUCCUUUCCUACAGAGGCAGGACGGAAGCUCAGAGAAGAGGGGGCCACGUGCCCAGUCACCCAGCUCCAAAGUUAGCAGAACCAGGACUAAAACCCAAGACUUUGGAGUUCUCAAGCAAACGUUCUGGCCUCUGAGGAUAAGGCCUCUGAGACAAGGAUUAAUUAACCAUCGGGGACUGCGUAAAGACUUCCCCAAAGCUAGAAAGCCUCCAGCUGCCGCUCCCACCAUCCACCUCUCUCCUCUGUGGACCCAAGGCUCACCCUCCCCCGCUGUCUGAUCACACACGCACACGCUGUCACACUCACACCGCUCCUUGCUCCUCCUGUCCCCAAGCUGGAAUGCCUUCCUCCUCCCAUAUCCAUUCUCCAGGAUCCCCCA